UCGGGAAUUUUGGGCAAUGGGCGAAAGCCUGACCCAGCAACGCCGCGUGAGGGAUGAAGUAUUUCGGUAUGUAAACCUCGAAAGAAUGGGAAGAAUAAAUGACGGUACCAUUUAUAAGCUCCGGCUAACUACGUGCCAGCAGCCGCGGUAAUACGUAGGGAGCAAGCGUUGUUCGGAUUUACUGGGCGUAAAGGGCGCGUAGGCGGCGCGGUAAGUCACUUGUGAAAUCUCUGAGCUUAACUCAGAACGGCCAAGUGAUACUGCUGUGCUAGAGUGCGGAAGAGGCAACCGGAAUUCUUGGUGUAGCGGUGAAAUGCGUAGAUAUCAAGAGGAACACCUGAGGCGAAGGCGGGUUGCUGGGCCGACACUGACGCUGAUGCGCGAAAGCCAGGG
Molecule: ribosomal RNA, 393 nt
Filed under: uncultured bacterium
Lineage: Bacteria
Description: bacterial SSU rRNA
Rfam family: Bacterial small subunit ribosomal RNA
Source: RNAcentral